CGUUAACGAACGAGACCUUAACCUGCUAAAUAGCUAGGCCUAACAUUGUUAGGUCGCCAGCUUCUUAGAGGGACUAUCGGUGUUUAACCGAUGGAAGUUUGAGGCAAUAACAGGUCUGUGAUGCCCUUAGAUGUUCUGGGCCGCACGCGCGCUACACUGAUCAAGUCAGCGAGUUUACAACCUUGGCCGGAAGGUCUGGGUAAUCUUUUGAAACUUCAUCGUGCUGGGGAUAGAGCAUUGCAAUUAUUGCUCUUAAACGAGGAAUCCCUAGUAAGCACAAGUCACCAGCUUGUGCUGAUUACGUCCCUGCCCUUUGUACACACCGCCCGUCGCUACUACCGAUUGAAUGGCU
Molecule: ribosomal RNA, 352 nt
Filed under: uncultured fungus
Lineage: Eukaryota; Fungi
Description: SSU rRNA
Rfam family: Eukaryotic small subunit ribosomal RNA
Source: RNAcentral